Non-coding RNA from Manacus vitellinus (golden-collared manakin), 72 nucleotides. Lineage: Eukaryota; Metazoa; Chordata; Aves; Passeriformes; Pipridae. The record is from Rfam.
CCCCUGGUGCUCUAGUGGUUAGGAUGCAGCACUCUCAGCGCUGCACCCUGGGUUCGAUUCCCGAUCAGGGGA